AGGAUUAGUUCACUUUUAAAAAAACUUUUGCUGAUAAUUUACUCACCCCCAUGUCAUCCAAGAUGUCCAUGUCUUUCUUUCUUCAGUCGAAAAGAAAUUAAGGUUUUUGAUGAAAACAUUCGAGGAUUUUUCUCCAUAUAAUGGACUUCCAUGGGAACCAGACGGUUCAAGGUCCAAAAGACAGUUUCAGUGCAAACUGCAAACUGUUCAAAGGGCUUUAAACGAUUCCAGACGAUGAAUAAGGGUCUUAUCAAGCGAAACGAUCGCUCAUUUAAAAAAAAAAAAAAAAAAGUUUAAGUUUUAUAAGCUCAAAUGCUCGCCUUGCUCUGUUCUGUGAUGCGCGUUCGUGACUCUCCUGUUCAAACUCGUUUAUCAAAAAGGAA
Molecule: long non-coding RNA, 383 nt
Organism: Rhinichthys klamathensis goyatoka
Lineage: Eukaryota; Metazoa; Chordata; Actinopteri; Cypriniformes; Leuciscidae
Exons: 2
Source: RefSeq, a predicted model, not a curated record